This 641-nucleotide ribosomal RNA is filed under the name Rotylenchulus reniformis. RNAcentral's name for it is "SSU rRNA". It matches the Rfam family "Eukaryotic small subunit ribosomal RNA", at positions 1003 to 1665 of the family's 1831-position model. The record is from RNAcentral. Lineage: Eukaryota; Metazoa; Nematoda; Chromadorea; Rhabditida; Hoplolaimidae.
GGCGAUCAGAUACCGCCCUAGUUCUGACCGUAAACGAUGCCAACUAGCGAUCCGCCAGUCGACUCAUCGCUCUGGUGGGGAGCUUCCCGGAAACGAAAGUCUUCCGGUUCCGGGGGAAGUAUGGUUGCAAAGCUGAAACUUAAAGGAAUUGACGGAAGGGCACCAUCAGGAGUGGAGCCUGCGGCUUAAUUUGACUCAACACGGGGAAACUCACCCGGCCCGGACACCGUAAGGAUUGACAGAUUGAUAGCUUUUUCAUGAUUCGGUGGAUGGUGGUGCAUGGCCGUUCUUAGUUCGUGGAGCGAUUUGUCUGGUUUAUUCCGAUAACGAGCGAGACUCUGGCCUACUAAAUAGUUGACGCAUUGCCACUGUGCGCACAACUUCUUAGAGGGAUUUUCGGUGUUUUCAACCGCACGAAAUUGAGCAAUAACAGGUCUGUGAUGCCCUUAGAUGUCCGGGGCUGCACGCGCGCUACACUGGCAAACGCAACGUGCCUGUCCUGCCCCGAAAGGAGCGGGUAAACCCCUGAAAUUUUGCCGUGAUUGGGAUCGGACAUUGCAACUAUUGUCCGUGAACGAGGAAUUCCUUNGUAGGGGCCGAGUCAUCAACUCGUCCCCGAAUACGUCCCUGCCCCUUUGUAA